UACGGGGGGGGCAAGCGUUGUUCGGAAUUACUGGGCGUAAAGGGUUUGUAGGUGGCUUGCUAAGUCAGACGUGAAAUCCCCCGGCUUAACCUGGGAACUGCGUCUGAUACUGGACGGCUUGAGUAUGGGAGAGGGAUGUAGAAUUCCAGGUGUAGCGGUGAAAUGCGUAGAUAUCUGGAGGAAUACCGGUGGCGAAGGCGGCAUCCUGGACCAUUACUGACGCUAAGGCGCGAAAGCGUGGGGAGCAAACAGG
Molecule: ribosomal RNA, 253 nt
Filed under: uncultured bacterium
Lineage: Bacteria
Description: partial 16S ribosomal RNA
Rfam family: Bacterial small subunit ribosomal RNA
Source: RNAcentral